AUUUUUGCCUAGUCAUUUACGGUAUGUCAGCCCUUAUAAAAGUAGGCUUUCCCCUCAGUCCAACAUCAGUCUCAUCUGGAACCAAGUUGGUGACACGGACUUGAACUCUCUCUACCUGGUAACCUCAACUCUAAGAUACAGCCAUGUCUCGUCUGCAAAAUGUCAUCAAAGGCAUGGUGGAAUUGUACGAGGAGUACUCUGACGCUGAUGGCAAGAUAAGCAAGGAGGAGAUGAUGAAGAUGGUGGAUAAAGAAGUUGAAUGCUCUGAGAUGAAAGAAAAACUCAAAGCUAAAAAAUGUGACAAGAACCAUGCGAUGGAGAGAUCGACUUCAGAGAUUUCGCUAGGUGUGUGGGAACCGUGGCCGUUUGCUGCUACCAAAAGAAAACUGGCAAGGGCCAAGCCUGGGGAGACUGCUCCAAAAAAUGCUAAUGUGAUAAUGUUACACUCCCUACAUGAGAAUGUGAUGGCCCUUCAAUACUGGCUAAUAAAAAAAUGAAAAAAUAGAGUUUAAAUCAA
This is a long non-coding RNA of Eleginops maclovinus (Patagonian blennie), 517 nucleotides long. RefSeq lists it as uncharacterized. The record is from RefSeq and is a predicted model, not a curated record. NCBI's taxonomy places the organism in Eukaryota, Metazoa, Chordata, Actinopteri, Perciformes, Eleginopidae. The transcript is spliced from 3 exons.